Molecule: transfer RNA, 65 nt
Filed under: Solirubrobacterales bacterium 70-9
Lineage: Bacteria; Bacillati; Actinomycetota; Thermoleophilia; Solirubrobacterales
Description: tRNA-Ala
Rfam family: tRNA
About the family: Transfer RNA (tRNA) molecules are approximately 80 nucleotides in length.
Source: RNAcentral
GCACGGCGAUCCGGAGCGCCUGGAUCGCACCCAGGAGGUCGGCGGUUCGAAUCCGCCUAGCUCCA